This 315-nucleotide ribosomal RNA is filed under the name uncultured bacterium. RNAcentral describes it as "partial 16S ribosomal RNA". It matches the Rfam family "Bacterial small subunit ribosomal RNA", at positions 355 to 663 of the family's 1533-position model. The record is from RNAcentral.
UAGGGAAUCUUCCACAAUGGACGCAAGUCUGAUGGAGCAACGCCGCGUGAGUGAAGAAGGUUUUCGGACCGUAAAGCUCUGUUGUUGGUGAAGAAGGAUAGAGGUAGUAACUGGCCUUUAUUUGACGGUAAUCAACCAGAAAGUCACGGCUAACUACGUGCCAGCAGCCGCGGUAAUACGUAGGUGGCAAGCGUUGUCCGGAUUUAUUGGGCGUAAAGCGAGCGCAGGCGGAAGAAUAAGUCUGAUGUGAAAGCCCUCGGCUUAACCGAGGAAUUGCAUCGGAAACUGUUUUCUUGAGUGCAGAAGAGGAGAGUA